ACUACCCCUGCGAGCGUUAAUCGGAAUUACUGGGCGUAAAGCGUGCGCAGGCGGUUGGGUAAGUCUGAUGUGAAAUCCCCGGGCUCAACCUGGGGACUGCCUUUGAGACUUCACGGCUAGAGUGUGGCAGAGGGGGGUAGAAUUCCACGUGUAGCAGUGAAAUGCGUAGAGAUGUGGAGGAAUACCGAUGGCGAAGGCAGCCCCCUGGGCCCUUACUGACGCUCAUGCACGAAAGCGUGGGGAGCAAACAG
This 251-nucleotide ribosomal RNA is filed under the name uncultured prokaryote. RNAcentral describes it as "partial 16S rRNA". It matches the Rfam family "Bacterial small subunit ribosomal RNA", at positions 525 to 775 of the family's 1533-position model. The record is from RNAcentral.